RNAcentral lists this transfer RNA (73 nucleotides) under Mesorhizobium sp. RNAcentral describes it as "tRNA-Met". It matches the Rfam family "tRNA". Rfam says of the family: Transfer RNA (tRNA) molecules are approximately 80 nucleotides in length. Their secondary structure includes four short double-helical elements and three loops (D, anti-codon, and T loops). Further hydrogen bonds mediate the characteristic L-shaped molecular structure. tRNAs have two regions of fundamental functional importance: the anti-codon, which is responsible for specific mRNA codon recognition, and the 3' end, to which the tRNAs corresponding amino acid is attached (by aminoacyl-tRNA synthetases). tRNAs cope with the degeneracy of the genetic code in two manners: having more than one tRNA (with a specific anti-codon) for a particular amino acid; and 'wobble' base-pairing, i.e. permitting non-standard base-pairing at the 3rd anti-codon position. The record is from RNAcentral. RNAcentral also lists the same sequence under 1 other name. Lineage: Bacteria; Pseudomonadati; Pseudomonadota; Alphaproteobacteria; Hyphomicrobiales; Phyllobacteriaceae.
GGGUGGAGCAGCCCGGUAGCUCGUCAGGCUCAUAACCUGAAGGUCACAGGUUCAAAUCCUGUCCCCGCAACCA